CAGCAGCCGCCGCGGUAAUACGUAGGGUGCGAGCGUUAAUCGGAAUUACUGGGCGUAAAGCGUGCGCAGGCGGUUGUGUAAGACAGGUGUGAAAUCCCCGGGCUUAACCUGGGAACUGCGCUUGUGACUGCACAGCUAGAGUAUGGCAGAGGGGGGUGGAAUUCCACGUGUAGCAGUGAAAUGCGUAGAGAUGUGGAGGAACACCGAUGGCGAAGGCAGCCCCCUGGGCCAAUACUGACGCUCAUGCACGAAAGCGUGGGGAGCAAACAGGAUUAGAGACCCCUGUAGUCCCUGUCUCUUAUAC
This 304-nucleotide ribosomal RNA is filed under the name uncultured bacterium. RNAcentral describes it as "partial 16S ribosomal RNA". It matches the Rfam family "Bacterial small subunit ribosomal RNA", at positions 506 to 807 of the family's 1533-position model. The record is from RNAcentral.